GAUGAACGCUGGCGGCGUGCCUAACACAUGCAAGUCGAGCGAAGCACUUACUUUAGAUUUCUUCGGAAUGACGAAGUUUGUGACUGAGCGGCGGACGGGUGAGUAACGCGUGGGCAACCUGCCCUGUACAGGGGGAUAACAGUUAGAAAUGACUGCUAAUACCGCAUAAGCCCACAGCUUCGCAUGAAGCAGUGGGAAAAACUCCGGUGGUACAGGAUGGGCCCGCGUCUGAUUAGCUAGUUGGUAAGGUAACGGCUUACCAAGGCGACGAUCAGUAGCCGACCUGAGAGGGUGACCGGCCACAUUGGGACUGAGACACGGCCCAAACUCCUACGGGAGGCAGCAGUGGGGAAUACUGCACAAUGGGGGAAACCCUGAUGCAGCGACGCCGCGUGAGCGAUGAAGUAUUUCGGUAUGUAAAGCUCUAUCAGCAGGGAAGAAAGUGACGGUACCUGACUAAGAAGCCCCGGCUAACUACGUG
Molecule: ribosomal RNA, 481 nt
Filed under: uncultured bacterium
Lineage: Bacteria
Description: partial 16S ribosomal RNA
Rfam family: Bacterial small subunit ribosomal RNA
Source: RNAcentral